GGGAGUGUAGCUCUGUUGGUAGAGUGCUUGCCUAGCAUGCACAAAGCCCUGGGUUCUAUUCCCACCACCACCU
RNAcentral lists this transfer RNA (73 nucleotides) under Neotoma lepida (desert woodrat). It matches the Rfam family "tRNA". From Rfam's summary of the family: Transfer RNA (tRNA) molecules are approximately 80 nucleotides in length. Their secondary structure includes four short double-helical elements and three loops (D, anti-codon, and T loops). Further hydrogen bonds mediate the characteristic L-shaped molecular structure. tRNAs have two regions of fundamental functional importance: the anti-codon, which is responsible for specific mRNA codon recognition, and the 3' end, to which the tRNAs corresponding amino acid is attached (by aminoacyl-tRNA synthetases). tRNAs cope with the degeneracy of the genetic code in two manners: having more than one tRNA (with a specific anti-codon) for a particular amino acid; and 'wobble' base-pairing, i.e. permitting non-standard base-pairing at the 3rd anti-codon position. Lineage: Eukaryota; Metazoa; Chordata; Mammalia; Rodentia; Cricetidae. The record is from Rfam by way of RNAcentral.